Molecule: ribosomal RNA, 554 nt
Filed under: uncultured bacterium
Lineage: Bacteria
Description: partial 16S ribosomal RNA
Rfam family: Bacterial small subunit ribosomal RNA
Source: RNAcentral
UGGGGAAUUUUGGACAAUGGGCGAAAGCCUGAUCCAGCAAUGCUGCGUGUGUGAAGAAGGCCUUCGGGUUGUAAAGCACUUUUGUCCGGAAAGAAAUCCUUGGCUCUAAUACAGUCGGGGGAUGACGGUACCGGAAGAAUAAGCACCGGCUAACUACGUGCCAGCAGCCGCGGUAAUACGUAGGGUGCAAGCGUUAAUCGGAAUUACUGGGCGUAAAGCGUGCGCAGGCGGUUUGCUAAGACCGAUGUGAAAUCCCCGGGCUCAACCCGGGAACUGCAUUGGUGACUGGCAGGCUAGAGUAUGGCAGAGGGGGGUAGAAUUCCACGUGUAGCAGUGAAAUGCGUAGAGAUGUGGAGGAAUACCGAUGGCGAAGGCAGCCCCCUGGGCCAAUACUGACGCUCAUGCACGAAAGCGUGGGGAGCAAACAGGAUUAGAUACCCUGGUAGUCCACGCCCUAAACGAUGUCAACUAGUUGUUGGGGAUUCAUUUUCCCUUAGUAACGUAGCUAACGCGUGAAGUUGGACCGCCUGGGGAGUACGGUCGCAAGAUUAAAA